AGGGCACCACCAGGAGUGGAGCCUGCGGCUUAAUUUGACUCAACACGGGAAAACUCACCCGGCCCGGACACCGUAAGGAUUGACAGACUGAGAGCUCUUCCUUAAUUCGGUGGGUGGUGGUGCAUGGCCGUUCUUAGUUGGUGGAGCGAUUUGUCUGGUUAAUUCCGAUAACGAGCGAGACUCUGGCCUAUUAAAUAGUCGGUAUAUCCAGAAAAGUUUACCGUACUUCUUAGAGGGACAACGGCGUCUAGCCGCGUGAAAUAGAGCAAUAACAGGUCUGUGAUGCCCUUAGAUGUCCGGGGCUGCACGCGCGCUACACUGAAAGAAUCAGUAUGCGCUUUAACCUAGUCCGGAAGGAUUGGGUAACCCGAGCAAAUUCUUUCGUGCUUGGGAUAGGGAAUUGCAAUUAUUUCCCUUAAACGAGGAAUUCCCAGUAAAUGCGGGUCAUAAGCUCGCGUUGAUUACGUCCCUGCCCUUUGUACACACCGCCCGUCGCUACUACCGAUUGGAUGACUUAGU
RNAcentral lists this ribosomal RNA (519 nucleotides) under uncultured eukaryote. Its description in RNAcentral is "SSU rRNA". It matches the Rfam family "Eukaryotic small subunit ribosomal RNA", at positions 1161 to 1702 of the family's 1831-position model. The record is from RNAcentral.